UACAGAGGAGCCAAGCGUUGUUCGGAUUGACUGGGCGUAAAGCGCACGCAGGCGGUUGCGCGCGUGGGGUGUGAAAUCUGGCCGCUUAACGGCCAGGCGCCAUCCCAUACGGCGCGACUGGAGUGAUGCAGAGGUCGAUGGAAUUGCCGGUGUAGUGGUGAAAUGCGCAGAUAUCAGGAGGAACACCGGUGGCGAAGGCGGGUCUCUGGGCCGAUACUGACGCUGAGGAGCGAAAGCGUGGGGAGCGAACAGG
RNAcentral lists this ribosomal RNA (253 nucleotides) under uncultured bacterium. Its description in RNAcentral is "partial 16S ribosomal RNA". It matches the Rfam family "Bacterial small subunit ribosomal RNA", at positions 524 to 776 of the family's 1533-position model. The record is from RNAcentral.